This 503-nucleotide ribosomal RNA is filed under the name uncultured Glomus. RNAcentral describes it as "SSU rRNA". It matches the Rfam family "Eukaryotic small subunit ribosomal RNA", at positions 569 to 1074 of the family's 1831-position model. The record is from RNAcentral. Lineage: Eukaryota; Fungi; Glomeromycota; Glomeromycetes; Glomerales; Glomeraceae.
AGCAGCCGCGGUAAUUCCAGCUCCAAUAGCGUAUAUUAAAGUUGUUGCAGUUAAAAAGCUCGUAGUUGAAUUUCGGGGUCAGUAGGUUGGUCAUGCCUCCGGUAUGUACUGGUCUCACUGAUUCCUCCUUCCUGAUGAACUGUAAUGCCAUUAAUUUGGUGUUGCAGGGAAACUGGACUGUUACUUUGAAAAAAUUAGAGUGUUUAAAGCAAGCUAACGCUUGAAUACAUUAGCAUGGAAUAAUGAAAUAGGACGUUCGAUCCUAUUUUGUUGGUUUCUAGGAUUGACGUAAUGAUUAAUAGGGAUAGUUGGGGGCAUUAGUAUUCAAUUGUCAGAGGUGAAAUUCUUGGAUUUAUUGAAGACUAACUACUGCGAAAGCAUUUGCCGAGGAUGUUUUCAUUAAUCAAGAACGAAAGUUAGGGGAUCGAAGACGAUCAGAUACCGUCGUAGUCUUAACCAUAAACUAUGCCGACUAGGGAUCGGAUGAUGUUAAUUUUUAAUGA